Solea senegalensis (Senegalese sole) is the source of this 624-nucleotide long non-coding RNA. RefSeq lists it as uncharacterized. The record is from RefSeq and is a predicted model, not a curated record. The transcript is spliced from 4 exons. NCBI's taxonomy places the organism in Eukaryota, Metazoa, Chordata, Actinopteri, Pleuronectiformes, Soleidae.
CGCCCCACCCCUUACAAACAUCAUCAUCACCGCUCUACCUAAAUCAGGAAGCACCGAGUUACGUUUGUGUUUCUUCUUUCCUUUCCCUUUCAUGAAAAAAAGAAAAGACGCGGAGACUCCAGUGAUUACGGCGCCGGAGAAACCAUACAGGGGAGGAAAAAAAGGGCGUUAUUGUUGGUGUUGGUGACGACCACCGUCGACCACUGUUGACAGGGAGAAGACUGACAGUUGGUUACAUCCAGUACGAGGCUGAGCUGUGGAUGCAUCUGACACAGACCAACCGGAGAAGAAGGGAUUAUAAAACGACCUGACAUCGGACCUGACAGCAAGAUUUAUGCAGCAGCAAGUCUCUCUCAGCAGCAUGGGCCAACAUCUAGGAAAGAGGGAGUCACCUGUGGACAGCAAGGCUCCAUCACCUGAACCCGAAGUGGAUCCGACAGCAGCAGAAGAAGUAGAAGUAGAGACUGAAGCACAAGAUGAAGUCUUCGGUAAGUGGUCACAACACACGUCUUAAAUUCAGCUUUACAUGCAUGUAGACAUUUAUUACACUUCGGUCAAUGAACAUAGUCUGGCAACCUUUGAGCAAACUAACCAACAGUAAUAUAAUCUGUAAAAGCAGCUUCA